RNAcentral lists this ribosomal RNA (254 nucleotides) under uncultured bacterium. RNAcentral's name for it is "partial 16S ribosomal RNA". It matches the Rfam family "Bacterial small subunit ribosomal RNA", at positions 79 to 334 of the family's 1533-position model. The record is from RNAcentral.
CUUUCUUUGCUGGCGACCGGCGCACGGGUGAGUAACACGUAUCCAACCUGCCCUUUACUCGGGGAUAGCCUUUCGAAAGAAAGAUUAAUACCCGAUAGCAUAAUGAUUCCGCAUGGUUUCAUUAUUAAAGGAUUCCGGUAAAGGAUGGGGAUGCGUUCCAUUAGGUUGUUGGUGAGGUAACGGCCCACCAAGCCUUCGAUGGAUAGGGGUUCUGAGAGGAAGGUCCCCCACAUUGGAACUGAGGCACGGUCCAA